Molecule: long non-coding RNA, 1169 nt
Organism: Amphibalanus amphitrite
Lineage: Eukaryota; Metazoa; Arthropoda; Thecostraca; Balanomorpha; Balanidae
Exons: 2
Source: RefSeq, a predicted model, not a curated record
GAUUAGUAGCCUCUUACCUUUUUUACCUUCACCCGUGACCCGUGUUGAUGUACCCUACCUUUCCUCACCCAGUAAAACAUUCCUCUAUUUGCCCGCCCCUGUCCUGAAUCCAUCACUUUUUGUUAGUGAUGUAAUGCUUCCAUUUUUCACCGAGCCGAUUUCGUUUUGUUUUUAUCCUUUCUAGUCAGUCUGGAUCCAUCUGUCGCCGUGUUACCGCUGCCUGUAAAGUAAUAAACCGGCAGAGAAGUUGACGUUGGAAUUUCAAGUUGCUAACCAGAGGAAUCGGCCUGUAAUUUUAGCGUAUCUACCACAUAGUCCUCCGCGGCCGGAUGACUGUUUUUUCAGUCAUUUGUUUCUUUGUUCUUUGCUGAUUGCGAUGCUUUGAAGAUUUGCGCUGUGAUUUGACAUCAAGAUGCCUGACAAGAUGAGUGAGGAAGUGGAGGUGUUGGUGAAGGACAGAACUCUGCUUAGAGGGCCUGGCGUCACCAAAAGCGGGUCUGCGACCAUCUGAUCCGGCGGUGGUGUGAUGAGUACCGCAACGCUCUCCGCUGCUGGAGCGUCUCGCCCCGUGGACGACCUAGCCGUACACCGCGCGUGGGAGACGUGGUGCUAGUCCACAGUGAGAGGCCGCGCGGCCGGUGGCCUGUGGCGCGAGUGACGCGGCUGCUGGCGGGGCCGGACGGCCACGUGAGGGCCGCCGUCAUCAGCCUGCGCGGGCGGAGCACUCGCCGCCCUGUCAGCCGCCUGUUCCUGCUGGAGGCGGCGGACUGAGUCGGACUGAGUCGUACCGGUGCAGUGAUCGGGACGAGUUACGUCGCCGCGAACUAUCGCAGAGUGCUGUGCCUUUUGUCGUAUUCAUCGUUCUGUUUGUUUUUCGAAAUCGGUCGUGCGCUCGAUUUCGAGUGGGGAGUGUGUUGUGAUUAGUAGCCUCUUACCUUUUUUACCUUCACCCGUGACCCGUGUUGAUGUACCCUACCUUUCCUCACCCAGUAAAACAUUCCUCUAUUUGCCCGCCCCUGUCCUGAAUCCAUCACUUUUUGUUAGUGAUGUAAUGCUUCCAUUUUUCACCGAGCCGAUUUCGUUUUGUUUUUAUCCUUUCUAGUCAGUCUGGAUCCAUCUGUCGCCGUGUUACCGCUGCCUGUAAAGUAAUAAACCGGCAGAGAAGUUGA